This 165-nucleotide ribosomal RNA is filed under the name uncultured bacterium. RNAcentral's name for it is "partial 16S rRNA". It matches the Rfam family "Bacterial small subunit ribosomal RNA", at positions 355 to 511 of the family's 1533-position model. The record is from RNAcentral.
UAGGGAAUCGUUCGGCAAUGGGGGCAACCCUGACCGAGCAACGCCGCGUGAGUGAAGAAGGUUUUCGGAUCGUAAAACUCUGUUGUUAGAGAAGAACACGAGUGAGAGUAACUGUUCAUUCGAUGACGGUAUCUAACCAGCAAGUCACGGCUAACUACGUGCCAG